Molecule: transfer RNA, 74 nt
Filed under: Flavobacteriales bacterium
Lineage: Bacteria; Pseudomonadati; Bacteroidota; Flavobacteriia; Flavobacteriales
Description: tRNA-Met
Rfam family: tRNA
About the family: Transfer RNA (tRNA) molecules are approximately 80 nucleotides in length.
Source: RNAcentral
GGCGAGGUAGCUCAGGUGGUUAGAGCGCAGGAUUCAUAACCCUGAGGUCGGGAGUUCAAUUCUCCCCCUCGCUA